RNAcentral lists this ribosomal RNA (253 nucleotides) under uncultured bacterium. RNAcentral's name for it is "partial 16S ribosomal RNA". It matches the Rfam family "Bacterial small subunit ribosomal RNA", at positions 524 to 776 of the family's 1533-position model. The record is from RNAcentral.
UACGGAGGGGGCUAGCGUUGUUCGGAAUUACUGGGCGUAAAGCGCGCGUAGGCGGCUUUGUAAGUUAGAGGUGAAAGCCCGGGGCUCAACUCCGGAACUGCCUUUAAGACUGCAUCGCUUGAAUUGUGGAGAGGUAAGUGGAAUUCCGAGUGUAGAGGUGAAAUUCGUAGAUAUUCGGAAGAACACCAGUGGCGAAGGCGACUUACUGGACACAUAUUGACGCUGAGGUGCGAAAGCGUGGGGAGCAAACAGG